GAUGUGUCCUCUGCAGCGGGAGGAGAAGAUCUUCCCUCUCCGUUUGCAGACAUUCCGGCCCUAGUCCAUGAUCACAGCUAUCUUCCCGUCCGCUUCAAUGCUCUUGUGGACAAUGCUCUUGUGUACAUUUCAGGAUUUGUUGUGCGACGGGCUCUGAAGAAGCUGUCAUGUGAUGUCUGCCGUGCCAGCCUGGUGACCGACGCUGCAUCUGCCAUCAAGGACCAGAGCUAUCACCUGCUGUGUCUAAGAAACAAUGGAGGCCUGGUGAUUCCAUCAGGGGGAACAGUUAGGGUCGUCAGGGCAGCAGAGUGGGUAAUUCGCCAGGCCUCAGAUAGUUGCAGACGAUCACGGCCCAUCCAACUGCUGGAGAUCACGUACAUUGUACGGAAGAGGAUUGGGUCGGAGGAUGUGUUUGAGCUCGGGGAGCACAUUAGGGACACUCAGUAUGGCAUAGACAGCCACCACCAUAGGCUGUUGACAUUAGUUGUGUCCUUGUUUUUUAAGCUAAGGCUGCACCACAUCGCUAAGAUGACUACACUUAGCUUACAGAGCAACAACAUGCGACAGAAGCUCAACAAAACAGUCCUUUUCAAAGGGCAUUAGCCCAAUGUGAGUUUCUGUUGGGUCUUCCCGUGAGGCUGGACACUGGGUUUCAGCGCCCCUCACCCAUCUUGGAUAGUUUUAUUAGACUUUGUUCUGUAAUUAGUUAUUGUGAAUUUAGUGUGAUCCUCUACAGUGUUUUGGAGAAAUCGUCAGCAAGGUAUGGUAUGUAUGUAAUAAGGUUAUUAGUUGUGUAAUGGUGAUGCGGUAGGAUGGUGGUAGUAUAGUUGUUGUUUUGGAAUGAAUAUAGAUAUGUAGAUAGUUUUAUUAGACUUUGUUCUGUAAUAUGUGAUCCUCUAUAGUGUUCGUGUUGUUUGGGAGUAAUCUACUGUAUGUUUCUAUGUGCUCUUAAUAACUAAUGUUUUGUGUGCAUGUACCCGUGGAGUUUGUACGUUUUUUGUCUCAGCUUCAUGUCUGUGAUAUUUGUAUCUUUGUCUGCUUCGUGUUUAACAAAACUUUGCCAAAACACACAAAAAAAAACGUUACUAAGAGGAAUUUUUGACUAUGAUAAUCUUGUAGUUGUUCAUUGUGCUUUGGCCUUUACAAAGCUAUUGUGAAUUAGUAUCUUAAGUGUAAGUAUGUGUUCUUAAUUAUCAAUGUUUUUUGUGUGCAUGUCCUUGUGAUGUUUGUCUUUGUCAGUUCCAUGUUUACCUAAAUGUUUGCAAAAGAAAAAAGAAAUAAGCUAAUAAUAUUGUCUCUCGUCUUGUCUCGUCUUCUCGCUCAAAGAUCUGUACCUUGCCGUGGUAAGCGAGCUUCUCAACUAAACAGGUCCUGUCUUGUGUUUGUGUAGUGUACUUAUUAAUACUAACCAUCAUGACUUAUAGUAAUACUAAUCCACUCUAUUUCUCUUUCUUCCCCUUCUUACCUCACUUGUGAGGUCAACCUUUACCAGUCCUCAGCCAUCCUUGUAUUUGAUGUCCCACUGACUCUCAUCGCACCUGAAAUCCCAUCCCUACAACUACCCUACCAUCUCUUGUUGCUGUCCCCUUGCCUGGACUUCCUGGCCCGCACAGCGCACAGCCUAGCGACCCACAACCUGGCUCUACUUGACAAUUCCUAAUCCCUAUGGACAAUUUAUUUCCUACACUGGACUCAGACAUGAGAAUCUCGCCAUGGCAAAAAUAUUUUUUUUCUUCAUGUGUGGCCCUAAUACUCCGUCGUACAUGUGUAAUGUUUUGGCGCCCUCUGAGUAAAAUUUUAUUGAAAUGUAUGUGUUUGUGAAUUGAUGUGUGUGGUUGAGAGUUUUUGUUGAAAAUUAGCUUGUCAUUUGAAGGGUGUGCUCCUGUGUGCGCAUAUGUCUCUAUCUGUGUCUAACACACUCUCGCAAACAUACACUCACUCUGGCAUAAAAAGAAGAAUUGUUUAAUUUCCACUGAGCUUGUGGACAUGAUGCGUCACCUGAACUCCGAUGGCUGCUGAGGCUGAACUGGCUGUGGGCCCAGCUGGAUGAGGACCAUAUUUUUUAAAGGAUCAUCAUGCUUCUGUAACACCUUUGUUCAAACAUUCUGAUUUUAGGAAAUCUUCAAAAAUAUUUGAAAAGUACCUUUAUAAUAUCUAAUGAAGUAAAUAUUUGUAAACAA
Molecule: long non-coding RNA, 2180 nt
Organism: Alosa sapidissima (American shad)
Lineage: Eukaryota; Metazoa; Chordata; Actinopteri; Clupeiformes; Clupeidae
Exons: 2
Source: RefSeq, a predicted model, not a curated record